GACGAACGCUGGCGGCGUGCUUAACACAUGCAAGUCGAACGGAAAGGCCUGUCCUUCCUUGUGUUGGACGGGUACUCGAGUGGCGAACGGGUGAGUAACACGUGAGUGAUCUGCCCCCAACUUGGGUAUAAGCCUGGGAAACUGGGUCUAAUUCCCGAUAGGACUGCAGGGUGGUGCCUGUGGUGGAAAACGAUUUUCUAGUGGUUGGGGAUGAGCUCGCGGCCUAUCAGCUUGUUGGUGGGGUAAUGGCCUACCAAGGCGGCGACGGGUAGCCGGCCUGAGAGGGUGGACGGCCACAUUGGGACUGCGAUACGGCCCAGACUCCUACGGGAGGCAGCAGUGGGGAAUAUUGCACAAUGGGCGGAAGCCUGAUGCAGCGACGCCGCGUGGGGGAUGACGGCCUUCGGGUUGUAAACUCCUUUCGACCGCGAGGAAGCCGCCUGGUUGGAAGGGUGGUGACGGUAGUGGUAGAAGAAGCACCGGCUAACUACGUG
RNAcentral lists this ribosomal RNA (494 nucleotides) under uncultured bacterium. Its description in RNAcentral is "partial 16S ribosomal RNA". It matches the Rfam family "Bacterial small subunit ribosomal RNA", at positions 28 to 507 of the family's 1533-position model. The record is from RNAcentral.